UAAGCCCAAUUUGUGGGCGCCCCCCUUCCUGGUCGCCCCCAACCCUAGUUUGCUCCGUUCGAUAUAAACUCAGUAGCCACCAGCUUAGAAACUCAAGUUUUGUUUAGUUCUAGUUUUCCUUUGAGAAACUAAGAUUGAUUCAUUGUAACUUUGGUGACAAGUCCUUUUACAGUGAUCCAGAGCUCCUAUUCUUGUUCUCCUUGACUG
This 207-nucleotide long non-coding RNA is filed under the name Setaria italica (foxtail millet). RNAcentral's name for it is "long non-coding RNA (SITA_LNC001192)". The record is from RNAcentral. Lineage: Eukaryota; Viridiplantae; Streptophyta; Magnoliopsida; Poales; Poaceae.